Molecule: ribosomal RNA, 406 nt
Filed under: uncultured bacterium
Lineage: Bacteria
Description: partial 16S ribosomal RNA
Rfam family: Bacterial small subunit ribosomal RNA
Source: RNAcentral
AGUGAACGCUGGCGGUGGGCCUAACACAUGCAAGUCGAACGAUUGGCGGCCGGUUGGUGAAUACUUCGGAAUUUCCUCUGUCGUGGGGGUUAACGUAGGGAACCUUACGCUAUUACCGCAUACGUUUGAAUGAGCCGGUGUGGGAUUAGCUAGUGGUCGGGGUAAAGGCCCACCAAGACGACGAUCCUUAGCUGGUCUGAGAGGAUGAUCAGCCACACUGGAACUGAGACACGGUCCAGACUCCUACGGGAGGCAGCAGUGGGGAAUAUUGGACAAUGGGCGCAAGCCUGAUCCAGCCAUGCCGCGUGGGUGAAGAAGGCCUUCGGGUUGUAAAGCCCUUUUGUUGGGAAAGCGGUACCCAAAGAAGAAGCACCGGCUAACUUCGUGCCAGCAGCCGCGGUAAUUC